GGGGGUAUAGCUCAGUGGUAGAGCAUUUGACUGCAGAUCAAGAGGUCCCCUCAUUUAGCUGACUCCCA
Molecule: non-coding RNA, 68 nt
Organism: Merluccius polli (Benguela hake)
Lineage: Eukaryota; Metazoa; Chordata; Actinopteri; Gadiformes; Merlucciidae
Source: the annotation of a GenBank genome assembly